This 1992-nucleotide long non-coding RNA is filed under the name Homo sapiens (human). RNAcentral's name for it is "HSALNT0216250". Lineage: Eukaryota; Metazoa; Chordata; Mammalia; Primates; Hominidae. The record is from RNAcentral.
GUCGCCGCGCGCCCUUCUGGGACUUGUAGUCUCGGCGCUGGUCGGGGCCCGCAGCCUCCGCACUGCGAGUCCUAGGAGAUGGGGACUUGGCUCAACGUCCUGGCUCGGCGCCCGGGCUUGGCGAGGUUGGUCAGGGGCUGCGUCUGUCUUCUUCACUGCUGUGGACGCAGCGAAUAGCACACAGCCAGAGAAACUUUAUAGUGAAUCAGUGAUGUUAUUGGCGAGAGCUAACGUUUAGUGAGCGCUUAGCCUGUGCCCGGCGUUGUUCUAAGCCCCUUAACCUCUCAUUAAAUGUUCUCUCAUUGAAUGAAUGAAUGACUACGUAUCAGGUACCAAAAUAUAGGCACGACAGAUGUGUUAUUAGAUAUAGACCGGGAGAUUGAGGAUACUUUUCAGAGGGGGAGGAGAUGAGGGGCGUGCUCAGAGAGUCCCAUUGCCAGGCUGGAAACGGACAGCUGGGGAGGGGGCCUUCGGGGCAGUGUAAGGUUAAGCCAGGAAUGACACCUUCACUGUACGUAAAGCCAAGCUGUGAUGGGAUCUGGUUCCUAAUGACAAAAAUCAUUGUCCCCGAGGACGCUGUGAGGACCAAGAGGGAGACCUACUGAGAACAGCUACCUCCAGCAAUGGCUCUCCUCCAGCCCCCUAGAGCUGGCACUGUCAUUCUGUGGGCCUCAGUAUCUGGGUCCGUACAAGGCAGGGGCUGGGUUGCCUGCCCACCAAGUUUCCCCCUAGUUCGGACCCACCACGACCUCCUCCCCUACACCAUGACUACAUAAGAGCCAGAAUCCAGGCUGCCCAGCUGGGUGCGGUGGCUCACACCUGUAAUCCUAGCAUUUUGAGAGGCUGAGAUGGGAGGAUUGCUUGAGGCCAGAAGUUCCAAGACCAGCCUGGUCAACCUAGCGAGACCCUAUAUCUAUGUGUAUUUAAAAAUUAAGAAUUUUGUAAAAUAAUAAAAAUAAUAGAAUCCAGGCUGCCCAUCUUUGUAGUUUAGAGAUGGUAGGUUCUUCUAAGGGGUAGUAAUUGGCCUUUGAAAGUUCACAUUCAUAACUUCUUUCUUAAGUUGGGUGGAGAGAGGGAAGCCAAUGGCGUUUUUUUUUUUUUUGGUUUUUUUGUUUUUUUUAAACAUCAAAGUGCACUGUCAGAGUGCCGAGUCCUGAUUGGUGGAAUGAUGAUGGUAUGAUUUGAUUCUCCCAAAUCAUCUUUGAAAAACUGUGAAACAUACAAUAAGCUUAUUCCUUGCCUAAUUACCGGUUGCUGGGUCCCAGGGGGUUGCUGGAACACGGAGACUAAUCAGAUGAUUCUUGUCUUUAAGGAGCAUGUGGAAGAGGGGACAGAUGAAUACCCCAUCUUCCUGCUCUCCAUCAGUCCGCCCUGGUGUGAUGUGCCUAAGCAGUUCCGAGUAAUCUUCCUGGAAAAAAUAAAUAGGCAACUGCGAUGAGUUUGUGCAAGGAUCCUAAUGGUAAUGAAUAAUAAUAACACACCACUGACAGCGAACGCUGAGUGUUCACUGCGUGCUAGGCACCAUGCAGAGGGUUUCCCCUCACAUGUACUUUAGGGGUAGAAAGAGGGACAAAGAGGAAAGUCUAUUAGGUGCAGAUCUGUGAACUCUGAAUAGGCCAUCCACCAUCUGAGACUCAGAAACCUGCAGGGACCUGGCCGAUGGGCAGGCUGCAUGCUGGCUGCACCAUGAGUCAGCACCAGACUGGGAGACGCAGCCACUCAGGGAUCCAAGGGACUCAAACAUCUGCAACCUGGCCCCAGGCCAAGAGAACAAACUGCAGGCUCCGGAUUUGCGGCCCUGUAGGAUAGGCUCAAAAUGAAACAUGUUUGUUAUUUCUAAGUGGAUGGGAACUGAAAGAACCCGAACAAUCAGUGUACAAGGAUUCAUGAAUGGACCAAACAUGCUUGCUUUUUGUUCUUGAAAGAUGUUUGUUGUAUUUAAUAUAUAACGAGAAGAGUGGUCAACGCUGACUGGGUGCUGAGCACUUUAAG